Molecule: non-coding RNA, 345 nt
Organism: Solanum lycopersicum (tomato)
Lineage: Eukaryota; Viridiplantae; Streptophyta; Magnoliopsida; Solanales; Solanaceae
Source: RefSeq, a predicted model, not a curated record
GGGUGCCCAGUUGAUGGACUGAUUUCACCUUCAAAAGAGACAUCUGUUGAAAAUAAACUUCAUGACAUGGGAUGUUUUGAAAUUUUCCAUGGAGACACAAUAGGAAUCACUACUCAAGGGAAAUGGAGGUGAUCAAAUUUGAAGUGGAUGAUGAAGAAUUUUUGAACUAUUGUAAAAGUUUGAAUACAUAUUUGAUUUAUUGUGUACACAUUUAGAAUAUUGAUGUAUAAGUAUGGAUAUGUACACAACGCAUACUAUCUUUUGGUUGUACAUGAAAUGUUUCUCGAAGUUUAUUUGAAAUAUAUAGCUUCAAUUUAAUGAUUAAUUAGUUCAUUUUAUGUUUUA